This 75-nucleotide transfer RNA is filed under the name Toxocara canis (dog roundworm). It matches the Rfam family "tRNA". From Rfam's summary of the family: Transfer RNA (tRNA) molecules are approximately 80 nucleotides in length. Their secondary structure includes four short double-helical elements and three loops (D, anti-codon, and T loops). Further hydrogen bonds mediate the characteristic L-shaped molecular structure. tRNAs have two regions of fundamental functional importance: the anti-codon, which is responsible for specific mRNA codon recognition, and the 3' end, to which the tRNAs corresponding amino acid is attached (by aminoacyl-tRNA synthetases). tRNAs cope with the degeneracy of the genetic code in two manners: having more than one tRNA (with a specific anti-codon) for a particular amino acid; and 'wobble' base-pairing, i.e. permitting non-standard base-pairing at the 3rd anti-codon position. Lineage: Eukaryota; Metazoa; Nematoda; Chromadorea; Rhabditida; Toxocaridae. The record is from Rfam by way of RNAcentral.
GACCGCAUGGUGAGAUAUGGACAACCCGUCGGACUACGGUACCGAAGACCGCAGGUUCGAAUCCUGCCGUGGUCG